RNAcentral lists this ribosomal RNA (693 nucleotides) under uncultured Pseudomonas sp. Its description in RNAcentral is "bacterial SSU rRNA". It matches the Rfam family "Bacterial small subunit ribosomal RNA", at positions 74 to 763 of the family's 1533-position model. Lineage: Bacteria; Pseudomonadati; Pseudomonadota; Gammaproteobacteria; Pseudomonadales; Pseudomonadaceae. The record is from RNAcentral.
GGGAGCUUGCUCCUGGAUUCAGCGGCGGACGGGUGAGUAAUGCCUAGGAAUCUGCCUGGUAGUGGGGGAUAACGUCCGGAAACGGGCGCUAAUACCGCAUACGUCCUGAGGGAGAAAGUGGGGGAUCUUCGGACCUCACGCUAUCAGAUGAGCCUAGGUCGGAUUAGCUAGUUGGUGGGGUAAAGGCCUACCAAGGCGACGAUCCGUAACUGGUCUGAGAGGAUGAUCAGUCACACUGGAACUGAGACACGGUCCAGACUCCUACGGGAGGCAGCAGUGGGGAAUAUUGGACAAUGGGCGAAAGCCUGAUCCAGCCAUGCCGCGUGUGUGAAGAAGGUCUUCGGAUUGUAAAGCACUUUAAGUUGGGAGGAAGGGCAGUAAGUUAAUACCUUGCUGUUUUGACGUUACCAACAGAAUAAGCACCGGCUAACUUCGUGCCAGCAGCCGCGGUAAUACGAAGGGUGCAAGCGUUAAUCGGAAUUACUGGGCGUAAAGCGCGCGUAGGUGGUUCAGCAAGUUGGAUGUGAAAUCCCCGGGCUCAACCUGGGAACUGCAUCCAAAACUACUGAGCUAGAGUACGGUAGAGGGUGGUGGAAUUUCCUGUGUAGCGGUGAAAUGCGUAGAUAUAGGAAGGAACACCAGUGGCGAAGGCGACCACCUGGACUGAUACUGACACUGAGGUGCGAAAGCGUG